UCCCUCGUGGCUCAGUUGGUAAAGAAUCUGCCUGCAACGCAGAAGACCUGGGUUUGAUUCCUGGGUUGGGAA
RNAcentral lists this transfer RNA (72 nucleotides) under Bos indicus x Bos taurus (hybrid cattle). It matches the Rfam family "tRNA". Rfam says of the family: Transfer RNA (tRNA) molecules are approximately 80 nucleotides in length. Their secondary structure includes four short double-helical elements and three loops (D, anti-codon, and T loops). The record is from Rfam by way of RNAcentral. Lineage: Eukaryota; Metazoa; Chordata; Mammalia; Artiodactyla; Bovidae. RNAcentral also lists the same sequence under 1 other name.